CCUACGGGAGGCAGCAGUGAGGAAUAUUGGUCAAUGGCCGGAAGGCUGAACCAGCCAAGCCGCGUGAAGGACGAAGGUGCCAAGCAUUGUAAACUUCUUUUGUCAAGGGACAAAAUCAGGCUCGAGAGCCUGACCGAGGGUACUUGAAGAAAAAGCAUCGGCUAACUCCGUGCCAGCAGCCGCGGUAAUACGGAGGAUGCGAGCGUUAUCCGGAUUUAUUGGGUUUAAGGGGUGCGUAGGCGGGCUGUUAAGUCAGCGGUAAAAGCCCGGGGCUCAACCCCGGCGAGCCGUUGAAACUGGAAGACAUGAGUGUGUUUGAGGUAGGCGGAAUGAGUGGUGUAGCGGUGAAAUGCAUAGAUAUCACGCAGAACUCCGAUUGCGAAGGCAGCUUACUAAGCCAUAACUGACACUGAAGCACGAAAGCGUGGGGAUCAAACAGGAUUAGAUACCCUGGUAGUC
RNAcentral lists this ribosomal RNA (459 nucleotides) under uncultured bacterium. Its description in RNAcentral is "partial 16S ribosomal RNA". It matches the Rfam family "Bacterial small subunit ribosomal RNA", at positions 338 to 795 of the family's 1533-position model. The record is from RNAcentral.